RNAcentral lists this long non-coding RNA (1202 nucleotides) under Anser brachyrhynchus (Pink-footed goose). RNAcentral describes it as "lncRNA (ENSABRG00000012698.1)". Lineage: Eukaryota; Metazoa; Chordata; Aves; Anseriformes; Anatidae. The record is from RNAcentral.
UUCCCUCACGCACCCCAAACCCUGCUCCUCCAUCGCCACAGGGUCCCCCCUCAGGACCACCCUUCCCUCCGGGACCCCUAACCCAGCUCCUCCAUCCCCGCAAGGUCCCCCCUCAGGACCACCGUUCCCUCAGAAACCCCAAGGCUCUGCUCCUUGCCACAGGGACCCCGGUGAACGCCACCGUUCCCUCACGCACCCCCAAACCCAGCUCCUCCAUUGCCGCAGCGUCUCCUCUCAGCACCACCAUUCCCUCAGGCGCCCCAAGGCUCUGCGCCUCAUCGCCACAGCGCCCCAAAGCCAGCUCCUUGAUGCCACAGGGACCUCUCUGGGCACCACCGUUCCCUCAGGCACCCCAAGACUUGGCUCCCCAACACAGGGACCCCUCUGAACACCACCAUACCCUCAGGCACCCCCAAACCCAGCCCCUCCAUCGCCACAGCGUCCCCUCAUCACCACAGCGUCCCCCCUCAACACCACCAUUCCCUCAGGCACCCCAAAACCCCACACCUCAACGCCAUGGGGUCUCCUCACUGCCCCAGGAUCUCCUCUUGGCAUCAUCGUCCCCUCAUGCACCCUAAACCCCGCUCCUCGACGCCACAGGGUCCCCUCCGAUCCCUGCCGCUCCCUCACGCGCACCAGAACCCUGCUCCUCAGCACCACGGCAUUCCCUCCGGCACCCCAAAACCCCUCUUCUCCUCAACAUCUCACCGUCAUCCUCCAGCACCCCAAAACCCCACUCACCGCCAUAGCGCCCCCCUCCCAGCACCACCAUUCCCUCAAGCCCCCCGAAACCCCUCUCUCAGCACCUCCCCAUCACCUCCCCAACACCCCCACCCCUUCCAGCGCCCCAAAACCCACCACGCUUCCCCCUUCCCUCCGACACCCCACAACCCGCAGCACCCCAAACAACCCCCGCCCCCCCCGGCUCCCCUCAGCACCGAACCCCACGCACCCACCUGUGGGGCCGCGGGACCACCACGACCCCGGGGAGCCACCACAAGCCCCGGGGGGCCACCAUUAACCCCGGGGGGCCACCGCAAGCCCCGGGACCACCGCCGAGAGCCGCGUCAAUUAAUUACCGAGCGCUCGCACGGCGGCAGGAGCACACGAAGGGCUCGGGGAAGUGCUAAAUAUACCCGCUGCCAGCGAAACCGCCCGUGUCACAGGCCCGGGGCUGGCGAGGCAGCGGCGCUUCCCUCCCC